GACAUUUAUAUCCCUACAGAAACCUCUGACAUAAAGCUAAAAUGUAUUAUAAAAGUCUGAUAUUUUUUUCAGUCUUGCUAUCCUCUCUCCCCUCUUUUUUUAAACCUAUGAAAGUGAUGCCUGUGGACUUACUAGCAUUCAGCAGAGUCAUGACAAUAUCAUGACAUCCUGACAACAAAAGUACUGAUAGAACAAAGAGCAAGUAUGUACUGUGGAAAAGAGAACAUAGUUUCUGUUUUAAAUGCUGUAUGAACAGACAUGACGAGAAAAGCUAUUUUUUUUUUUAAUUUGAUCAGCUUUUUAGUGUUAUCUGUUUUGAAAACUAACUUUUAGUCUUAGAAAAGAUGGUUUUGAAGCAAGACAUUGAGAGGGAAAGGAUGGUGGUGGUGGUCUGGUCUGCUCAGAGAAAGUGAACAGAACUUUUCAUUAAUAUUUUGCUAGUAUUGACAGCUCUUUGUCUUUUACAAAACCGGAAAAUCAUUCCAUCACAAGCACAAAGCUAUGCGUGGAAGUAGAAGUCACUUAGGUUUGCCUGAUUGUCAGAAGCAAUUUAUAAGCACUUCAAAAUGCUUUCGUAAGAAAGCAGAGCAUAAAGGUUGUGUUUUGUUAAUCUUUUAAACAGUGUCCCAGCAGUUGCAGGAGGGCUGAACCAGGUACCAAGCAAGCUCUACAUUUGGGCGAUGUGAUUGCAUGUGCUUUCGCAAUACUCCUCCUUUCCUAUGCUGAGACUUCGGUGCUCUGAUAUUAGAGGCCCUAAUUUGGGAUUAUGUUAACAUAGGUGCAGCAGUCAUUACUGGUAUGGAAGAAGAAUCACCUUGCUUCCCUGCAACGGUGCAAAGGUUUUUAAUGACUAAGGACAGAGAAAACUAUUUGUUUCUUUGUUGCUGCCUUUUUUCCAUUUUUUUCCUUGUCUGCAGAUCCAUACUUACAUGGUAUUUUGACCAUGUCACAACAGUGUGUCUUCAGAAGCCUCAGUCUGUAGCAGAGGGUUCUUAGGUCCUUCUGUGGAGCCCUUAAAAUAAUUUUAACUACUGCUGGUCUUACCUGAUGAAUUAGAAGUAGACAACCAAGUCAGACCCUAUGUAUAAAAAAAUGUUAUGAAUAAUGUUCUUCUUGGGGACAGACUGUGGCACUUUCACUAAGGUAAACUAGUAUCUUUUUAGAACAUAUGUUGGGCUGCUUUUACAAGGAACUUUAGAAUAUCUUUUGCAAAUAUUAGUAAUUGGAAAUGUUUGUAUUGUUUUAGCUUUCUGCAGUUGUUUGUACGUGGUGGUUCAUUUUGUUGUGACAAGGUACAGUAAUCAACAGCUGUGGUGGAAGCAGAAACAAUCCAUCACUGCACCCAAAGCAACUAUCUGGCAGGUUCCAUUUGAACCUCGCUGUUCUGCAGAUUUUCCAUGAGACAUCUGAAGACUCUUUCCAAGGAUCCUGACUGUCACUCUGUGAUGGUAUGUGUGUGCCUGAAAUUUCAAGACAGCGGCAAACUUCCUUCUGUUCCUUUUGUUUUUUUUCCUUCUGGAGGUGUGAUAAUGGAACCUGUGAGUGUGUUAAACAGCCCUAUUCUGUAGCUGUGAAGAAAGAACUAAAGCUGUGCAUUUUGUUUGAAAGCUGACACUUCUAUCAAGUGUUAAAAACUGUGUACCAAAGACAUCUGUGAUGAAAUCAGUGGACCUGUGAUUUUUGCAGCCAGAUUAACAGUCAUGGAAGUGGCUUAAUUCAUGGUAUGGUUUUGUCGCAUUCCUUCCUUUGUUGUCAUACUUGGCUUUGGGUGUUUUCUUUUAAACAUCUUUGUGUAAAAUAAAGUGAAGUUUCUCUGGGAAGUA
Pezoporus occidentalis (night parrot) is the source of this 1823-nucleotide long non-coding RNA. RefSeq lists it as uncharacterized. The record is from RefSeq and is a predicted model, not a curated record. NCBI's taxonomy places the organism in Eukaryota, Metazoa, Chordata, Aves, Psittaciformes, Psittacidae. The transcript has 2 exons.